Molecule: ribosomal RNA, 460 nt
Filed under: uncultured bacterium
Lineage: Bacteria
Description: partial 16S ribosomal RNA
Rfam family: Bacterial small subunit ribosomal RNA
Source: RNAcentral
CCUACGGGUGGCAGCAGUGAGGAAUAUUGGUCAAUGGUCGGGAGACUGAACCAGCCAAGCCGCGUGAGGGAUGAAGGUCCAGCGUAUCGUAAACCUCUUUUGUCAGGGAACAAAGGCCGGGACGUGUCCCCGGCUGCGUGUACCUUACGAAAAAGCAUCGGCUAACUCCGUGCCAGCAGCCGCGGUAAUACGGAGGAUGCGAGCGUUAUCCGGAUUUAUUGGGUGUAAAGGGCGUGUAGCCGGGUUGACAAGUCAGAUGUGAAAUCCUGCGGCUUAACCGCAGAACUGCAUUUGAAACUGUUGAUCUUGAGUACUGGAGAGGCAGACGGAAUUCCUAGUGUAGCGGUGAAAUGCGUAGAUAUUAGGAGGAACACCAGUGGCGAAGGCAGUCUGCUGGACAGCAACUGACGGUGGGGCGCGAAGGCGUGGGGAGCAAACAGGAUUAGAUACCCCGGUAGUC